Non-coding RNA from Pimephales promelas (fathead minnow), 1278 nucleotides. NCBI's taxonomy places the organism in Eukaryota, Metazoa, Chordata, Actinopteri, Cypriniformes, Leuciscidae. The record is from RefSeq and is a predicted model, not a curated record.
UCACGGUUUUGGCAGAGUUAAUCCAUGCUUCUUUGGGCAUGCAUGAUGUGAAACGAGUGGUCGCAAAACCACCGGGCUUUCCCGUGUUAUUGUCAGCAGCUGGUUAUCCUUCCAUGUUGAAAGGUAAGUCCAGCUGCAUCAUAUUUAUUCACAAAAUUAAAUAGAUUCACUUGCAACGCGUCAUACCGAGGUUUGUGGUUUGAGUGAAUAAGUUCUUCCGCAAACAAACAAGCUGCAAGAAAAGGGGGCGUUUUGAGGUUUGAAAUUCACCACUCACAACCAUAAACACAACAAUGUGGUGACGUAAUGGAGGUGCAACCAAUAACGUUAGUGUAUUGCUUCAAGCUGCGAGAAAAAUACUUUAAAAUUACAGCAUUCUUUCCCGAAGAAAAGAGAACAGUUCGAGGGCCUAAGGACGGGAAUCCGAUUGAGGAACACCCCAGAAAUGGCUCGGCUACGAUGUUCCGAUAAAGAAGUCACGCCGGGUGUUGAAUAUUGUCAGAUUCAGAUGCAUCAAUGAGAGUCAGUAAUGCAGUGGAUAACUAUGAGGAUGAUCACAUCCACAUGCCCCACAGCUGUGAUGCAGAAUCACAAUGGGAGGAUCAAUCUGUCUUUGGCCACAACCUGAUCUUCUCAGAGAGACUCUCCAGCGUCUUGAUGCUCUUUAGCGAAAGUAUGAGCAGCACAGACUAACGUUACAUGAAGAAUCUUACAACGCUUCGAAAAGAAUAAAAAAGGCACAUGACGUGAACAUUGCGGAAUCUGUAAGGCGCCUCCAUAAUUCAGAGAACAACCCACACAAAUACGUUCCACAAACCAGAAUAAAUUCAUCACAUAAUUCUUCGAAGAGGUAAGUGGUCACAGCCAGGUUAAGGUCAACUUUUACAGACGUUGACCCUGAAUGUGUAAAAGCAGGUUGGAAGAUGUAUUUUGAGACUUUGCGGAGGAAGUAUUCUUUGGCUCAGCCUGAAAAGGCCCAGAAAAGAAAAACUAUGACGAGCAUUGCAAAGAACCUUCAAAGAAAGCGACUGUUGCUGGAGACCAGGUCCGGGGUUGUACAAACCAACACAGAAAAGGAACUUUGGAAGACCGCAACAAUAGAACUGAUGUCUGAUGAAGAUGAUGCUAUUGUUGAUGGAAGGCCAGUGUGAAUGGUGAGGUCUCCACCAAUCUGCUCUCUGCUAGGUACUAUAAAACAGACUAGAGGCUGACUCACACUAUGCGUCACACCACCAGCGUAUCAUGGCAGUUUGAAAAAUGUUAACUCGUAUAAAAAAA